Molecule: transfer RNA, 73 nt
Filed under: Canis lupus familiaris (dog)
Lineage: Eukaryota; Metazoa; Chordata; Mammalia; Carnivora; Canidae
Also listed under: 2 other names
Rfam family: tRNA
About the family: Transfer RNA (tRNA) molecules are approximately 80 nucleotides in length.
Source: Rfam by way of RNAcentral
GCCCGACUGGCUCAGUUGGAAGAGUGUGUGACUCUUGACCUCAAAGUUAUGAGUUUGAGUCCCAUGACGGGUG